UACGGAGGAUGCAAGCGUUAUCCGGAUUCAUUGGGUUUAAAGGGUGCGUAGGCGGAUUGGUAAGUCAGUGGUGAAAUCCUGCAGCUUAACUGUAGAACUGCCAUUGAUACUGUCGAUCUUGAAUGCAGUUGAGGUAGGCGGAAUGUGUAAUGUAGCGGUGAAAUGCGUAGAUAUUACACAGAACACCGAUUGCGAAGGCAGCUUGCUAAACUGUGAUUGACGCUGAGGCACGAAAGCGUGGGGAU
This 245-nucleotide ribosomal RNA is filed under the name uncultured bacterium. Its description in RNAcentral is "partial 16S ribosomal RNA". It matches the Rfam family "Bacterial small subunit ribosomal RNA", at positions 524 to 768 of the family's 1533-position model. The record is from RNAcentral.